This 253-nucleotide ribosomal RNA is filed under the name uncultured bacterium. Its description in RNAcentral is "partial 16S ribosomal RNA". It matches the Rfam family "Bacterial small subunit ribosomal RNA", at positions 524 to 776 of the family's 1533-position model. The record is from RNAcentral.
UACGAAGGGGGCUAGCGUUGUUCGGAUUUACUGGGCGUAAAGCGCACGUAGGCGGAUUGUUAAGUCGGGGGUGAAAUCCUGGAGCUCAACUCCAGAAUUGCCUUCGAUACUGGCUUUCUAGAGGCUGGAAGAGGUUAGUGGAAUUCCCAGUGUAGAGGUGAAAUUCGUAGAUAUUGGGAAGAACACCAGUGGCGAAGGCGGCUCACUGGACUGGUAUUGACGCUGAGGUGCGAAAGCGUGGGGAGCAAACAGG